UACGGAGGGUGCGAGCGUUGUCCGGAAUCACUGGGCGUAAAGCGUGCGCAGGCGGUUAUGCAAGACAGAUGUGAAAUCCCCGGGCUCAACCUGGGAACUGCAUUUGUGACUGCAUGGCUAGAGUACGGUAGAGGGGGAUGGAAUUCCGCGUGUAGCAGUGAAAUGCGUAGAUAUGCGGAGGAACACCGAUGGCGAAGGCAAUCCCCUGGACCUGUACUGACGCUCAUGCACGAAAGCGUGGGGAGCAAACAGG
This 253-nucleotide ribosomal RNA is filed under the name uncultured bacterium. Its description in RNAcentral is "partial 16S ribosomal RNA". It matches the Rfam family "Bacterial small subunit ribosomal RNA", at positions 524 to 776 of the family's 1533-position model. The record is from RNAcentral.